AGUAAAAGUCGUAACAAGGUUUCCGUAGGUGAACCUGCGGAAGGAUCAUUAACGAGUUUUUGAAAGGGGUUGUAGCUGGCCUAAAAACAAGGCAUGUGCACACCCUGCUCAAUCCACUCUCAAACCCCUGUGCACUUACUGUAAGCUAUGGUGGGAUAGCCGACUUCGGUUGGUUUGAAAGCCUUGCUUAUGUUUAUUACAAACGCUUCAGUUUAAGAAUGUAACACCGCGUUUAACGCAUUAAAUACAACUUUCAGCAACGGAUCUCUUGGCUCUCGCAUCGAUGAAGAACGCAGCGAAAUGCGAUAAGUAAUGUGAAUUGCAGAAUUCAGUGAAUCAUCGAAUCUUUGAACGCACCUUGCGCUCCUUGGUAUUCCGAGGAGCAUGCCUGUUUGAGUGUCAUGGAAUUAUCAACUUCUAUAAUUUUUGUUGUAGAAGCUUGGAUGUGGAGGCUGUGUUGGCUUGCAAAAGUCAACUCCUCUGAAAUGCAUUAGCGUGAACCUUACGGAUCGCCUUCAGUGUGAUAAUUAUCUACGCUGUGGUGUUGACGUAUCUUGUGUCAUGCUCACAGUCGUCCGCAAGGACAAUCACUUGACAAUCUGACCUCAAAUCAGGUAGGACUACCCGCUGAACUUAAGCAUAUCAAUAAGCGGAGGA
This 657-nucleotide ribosomal RNA is filed under the name uncultured fungus. RNAcentral describes it as "eukaryotic LSU rRNA". The stretch from base 249 to 402 matches the Rfam family "5.8S ribosomal RNA". Lineage: Eukaryota; Fungi. The record is from RNAcentral.